GAUGAACGCUGGCGGCGUGCUUAACACAUGCAAGUCGAACGAGAAAUGUAGACGGAAACCUUCGGGCGGAAGCCUUCAUUUCGAGUGGCGGACGGGUGAGUAACGCGUGGGUAACCUGCCUCAUACAGGGGGAUAACAGUUGGAAACGACUGUUAAUACCGCAUAAGACCACAGCAUCGCAUGAUGCGGGGGUAAAAACUCCGGUGGUAUGAGAUGGACCCGCGCUCGAUUAGCCAGUUGGCGGGGUAACGGCCCACCAAAGCGACGAUCGAUAGCCGAUCUGAGAGGAUGACCGGCCACAUUGGGACUGAGACACGGCCCAAACUCCUACGGGAGGCAGCAGUGGGGAAUAUUGCACAAUGGGGGAAACCCUGAUGCAGCGACGCCGCGUGAGUGAAGAAGUACUUCGGUAUGUAAAGCUCUAUCAGCAGGGAAGAAAAUGACGGUACCUGAGUAAGAAGCCCCGGCUAACUACGU
Molecule: ribosomal RNA, 477 nt
Filed under: uncultured bacterium
Lineage: Bacteria
Description: partial 16S ribosomal RNA
Rfam family: Bacterial small subunit ribosomal RNA
Source: RNAcentral